RNAcentral lists this ribosomal RNA (253 nucleotides) under uncultured bacterium. Its description in RNAcentral is "partial 16S ribosomal RNA". It matches the Rfam family "Bacterial small subunit ribosomal RNA", at positions 524 to 776 of the family's 1533-position model. The record is from RNAcentral.
UACAGAGGGUGCGAGCGCUAAUCGGAAUUACUGGGCGUAAAGCGCACGUAGGUGGCGACGUAAGUCGGGUGUGAAAGUCCCGGGCUCAGCCUGGGAAUUGCAUUCGAGACUGCAUUGCUGGAGUACGGAAGAGGAGGGCGGAAUUCCAGGUGUAGCGGUGAAAGGGGUAGAUAUCGGGAGGAACAUCAGUGGCGAAGGCGGCCCUCUGGUCCAGUACUGACACUCAAGUGAGAAAGCGUGGGGAGCAAACAGG